UGAGUACGAGAUGCUACGGCAUCGAAGCAGUCUAUGUCAUACUUCCAAGAAAAGCUUGCAAUGUCAUAAACAAAUAAUGCCUGUACCAUAACCGACACAGGUGGGUAGGUAGAGUAUACUAAGGGGCGCGAGAUAACUCUCUCUAAGGAACUCGGCAAAAUGACUCCGUAACUUCGGGAGAAGGAGUGCCUUAUUUUUAUAAGGUUGCAAUAACAAGAUCCAAGCAACUGUUUACCAAAAACACAGGUCUCCGCUAAGUCGUAAGACGAUGUAUGGGGGCUGACGCCUGCCCAGUGCCAGAAGGUUAAAGAAGUUGGUUAGCAUUAGCGAAGCUGAUAACUGAAGCCCUGGUGAACGGCGGCCGUAACAAUAACGGUCCUAAGGUAGCGAAAUUCCUUGUCGGGUAAGUUCCGACCCGCACGAAAGGCGUAAUGAUUUGGAUACUGUCUCGGAGAGGGGCUCGGUGAAAUAGACUUGUCUGUGAAGAUGCGGACUACCUGCACCUGGACAGAAAGACCCUAUGAAGCUUUACUGUAACUUGAGAUUGAAAUUGGACUUUAUCUGCGCAGUAUAGGUGGGAGACGUUGAAAAUAUUCUUGCGGGAAUAUUGGAGUCAUCAGUGAGAUACCACUCUUAUAAUGUUAGAUUUCUAACUUUGUAUCAUUAUCUGGUCAAAGAACAGUUUCAGGCGGGCAGUUUGACUGGGGCGGUCGCCUCCCAAACGGUAACGGAGGCGCACAAAGGUUUCCUCUGAACGUGUAGAAAUCGUAUCUAGAGUGUAAAGGCAUAAGGAAGCUUGACUGUGAGACCUACAAGUCGAGCAGGGACGAAAGUCGGUCUUAGUGAUCUGACGGUGCUGAGUGGAAAGGCCGUCACUCAACGGAUAAAAGUUACUCUAAGGAUAACAGGCUGAUCUCCCCCAAGAGUUCACAUCGACGGGGAGGUUUGGCACCUCGAUGUCGGCUCAUCGCAUCCUGCGGCGGUAGUACGUCCCAAGGGUUGGGCUGUUCGCCCAUGAAAGCGGUACGCGAGCUGGGUUCAGAACGUCGUGAGACAGUUCGGUCCAUAUCCGGUGUAGGCGUUAGAAUAUUGAGAGGAGCCUUCUUUAGUACGAGAGGACCGAGAAGGACAUACCUCUGGUGUACCAGUUAUCGUGCCAACGGUAAACGCUGGGUAGCCAUGUAUGGAGAGGAUAACCGCUGAAAGCAUCUAAGUGGGAAGCCCACCUCAAGAUAAG
This 1237-nucleotide ribosomal RNA is filed under the name metagenome. RNAcentral's name for it is "bacterial LSU rRNA". It matches the Rfam family "Bacterial large subunit ribosomal RNA", at positions 1564 to 2808 of the family's 2925-position model. The record is from RNAcentral.